CUGCCCGCUGAUGGCUGCGGUGGGAGCCUGGCUGCUGAGCUUGGGCAGUCUUCUAGAAAGGAAAGAGUCUCCCAGUGAGGCCCAGAGGCGGGAGGAAAGCUGAUCUCAUCUAAAGUGGCUAUAUCUGAGCUCUAUGCUUGAUGAAUACAAAACAACAGAAGUGAUGUUUCUGGGCUGACGCCUUGAGAAACUGGCAGCUUCUACCUCCUCUCUGCUGGAAUGCCUGCUCUUGGAAAGCUAGCUGGCAUGCUGUAAGGAAGCUCAAGCAGCCCUGUGGAGGCAAGUCAGUGGCCUGCAACGUGUCAGCCCUGGGAUGAACCAUCUUGGAAAUGGACUCUCUGCCCUGCCUAAAUUGCAGGUUCAUGAGCAAAAGAAAGGACUGUUGCUAUUCUAAGAAGUAUCUGUCACUAUGUAGUGACAGAUACCGAAAUACUGAAACCCUGGCCCACAUCCGAGCUCCUCUGCCUGGCCAUGGUGAUUAGUCCAUGGAUGACCAAUGGUGCUUGGUCCCAGGUGAUCCAUCCUGGGAUGAGGUGUUAGGAUCCUGGGAGAGAUACUCACUCACCUGCUUCUAGGACCAUGAGCCACAAGGGCCUUGCUCAGAAUGGUGAAGCUGCCGAGGGAAGCUGCCCUGAAGCAGACAGAGGGAAGCAUGCUGAGCUGCUGCGAAAUGCAAAAAGGAAAGAGCCCUGCAGACACCCCACCCCAGCCCACCCCGCCCUGUGGCGUGAGCAGGAGGGUUCUGGCUCCUUUUUUGUCCAGUGAAUUUAAGUUGAGCUUUUGUCCCUUGCAAUCAACUAAGGCGGCCACCUAGCAAAUGUGUGACUCACAGGCCUGAGACUCAGUUCCCCAUCAGUAAAAUGGGGACAGUGAAGCCCUCAUCAAUGGUAGCUGGGCGAUUGUUAGCAAACCAGAGCUGCCAGUGCAGGCAGAGUGAGGGGCCGGCACAGAUGGGGAGCCAAGAGCAGCCCUCCACGCUCCACUUUACUCCAGGGAUGGCAGCAAAGCUCCGCCUGUCACACGGCUCCACCCUUGGCCCUGGGACAGGAGUCCUAGCAUGCCCAUUCUGUAGGGAGGAGGAACUGAGGCACAGAAAGCCCAAGUAACAUGUCCAGGUCCCACAGGCCAAUCCCAGACAGUCAGGCUCUGGAUCCCGGGCUGUUGGGAGAAGGUCUGGGAUGGGCUGUAUUGCAGGGGGAGACCCUCACCCCUCACAGGCCUCAGUUUCCCUAUCUCUAAAAUAGGAGACCUCCAAGAAGUCUCCUGAGACUGAGUCUCUCAGAUGUCUCCAUUUGGAUGGGCCUCGGACAGCCUAAUAGACCACUGAGAGGCUGUGGCGAGGGGUGGGGGGCAUACCCAGAUGCCACCUCACUAGGGGGCCCCAGGAAUCCCUCUCCCAGCAUGGCUACCACCUGCCCCAGGCUGUCGAGACCCUUUUUAAGGGAAGGUAGGGAAAGAGACCAGAGCCCAGAGAAGGGUAGGGGCUUAAGCAAGGCCGGCCCAAGGCCAGCCUGAGGACUGGGGAAGAGGCAGGACUAAAACACGCUGAGCUUGUGGGCCAGUGAGGGCUGAGCAGCCACCAGGUCUGUGGGGGCAGGGCAGGAGCCAGCAGGGAGCCUGGGGGAGGGAGGGAGGGAGCAAGGCUCAAGCUUCUCCCACCACAAGGCACUUGGGCUCGCCCUGCUCACUGGGCAGGUGCUGGGCACCAAAGCAGCUUAACUGGCCCUUGAGCACUAAGCCUCCAGUUGCCCUUGGCCCACCUGCGCCUUCUGACCCGCCGGCUUAGCUGGGAGCAGCUCCAGGCCAGUGAGAGCACCACCCCCUCCUGGAAUCCUAUCCUUAGACGUGAACUCCUUACAUCACCAUAAGAGGCAUAAUCCCAACAGCCGGUGACCAGAGAAUCGAUGCACACUCACUCUGGAAAAUUCAGAAAAUGCAGAAAAAGGUCAAGAGGUAGGAAAAAAGACCAUCCACAAUCUGACCUUCUCUCGGCAGCCAGGUGAAGCCCCAUUGCAGAGGACAAGGAGCCGGGGAGCAGCCCCCAGCCAGACUUUGUCCUUCUUGUGCCUGGCGGUGUCUCCAGCUCCUGAACUGGCCUGGCACGCUGUAGGUGCUCAGUAGUAUCUGUUUCAUAAAUCUGUCAUUCCUUUUACCCUCCA
Long non-coding RNA from Lemur catta (Ring-tailed lemur), 2159 nucleotides. RefSeq lists it as uncharacterized. The record is from RefSeq and is a predicted model, not a curated record. Lineage: Eukaryota; Metazoa; Chordata; Mammalia; Primates; Lemuridae. The transcript has 3 exons.